Panonychus citri (citrus red mite) is the source of this 4003-nucleotide long non-coding RNA. RefSeq lists it as uncharacterized. The transcript has 8 exons. NCBI's taxonomy places the organism in Eukaryota, Metazoa, Arthropoda, Arachnida, Trombidiformes, Tetranychidae. The record is from RefSeq and is a predicted model, not a curated record.
AAGUGUUAACUAAUUAGCUGAACAAUUAAUUAGAUGAUGAAGAUUAGGUGAUGAUGUUUAUUCACAAUCGACGGGAAAAUAGAAAACAUUAAUUAACCAAGAGAAUUAGAAAAACAAUCAACCAAAACAAUUAGAGAAAAAUUAAAAAUCUCAAUGGAAAAAAUUCUAAGGGUCAAUGUGUUAAUUUCCAAUCAAAUGUUACAAUUGUUUCUUAAUUAAUGUUCCCCUUUUUCGCGAAAAUUCUUUUUUUUUAUUAAUCCGAUUAACUAAUUCUCUUCAAUGUUACAUAGUUUUAAUUAGAUUAAUUGUUGUUGAUUAAUCACUUUCUCUCAUCGAGAUUCUUAUGAACAAGUGAUAAUUCACUGGAUUGAAAUAAAUUCAAUUCCGACAACAAUUUUUGUUUCUUCAUCUUUAACUCUUUAUGUUUGGUUACCUUGAUUAACCAUUUUUUUUUGCUUAAUCAUUUAUUAUCCCUUUUUUUGUUUCUAUUCAAUUUAAUCUUCUUUUAUAUCCUUCAAGUUAAUCCAUUUGGUGUUGAUAUUGUCCAUCAUCAAUCUCCUUGAUGUUAUUAUGAAAGGCUUAAAUUUAGGAACCUUGAUUUAGUUUAUUAAAUAAUCAGUUCUCAUAAGAAUUGGAUAACCAUAAUUAAAUUAACAGGUCAACAUUCAGUAACUAACCAUGAAAAAGGUUUUGACUUUGACUAACAAUUAAUUUCGUGAUGAUUAUCAAUUAACAGACUUCACGAUCUCGUUAAUCUAACAAGAGGAAGCAAAAGGACAUACAAACAAAGUUUCUUAAGUCAACAUCCAUUAUAUUAUACAAGGAAACUAACAAAUUCUCACUGUUACUGUUAUAUAAUAGAGAAAGAAUAAGGUUAUCAUGAAUAUUAUUACCUUCGCAACGACGUUCAUUGAAAUUGGAACAAGCAGUGAAAAUCCAAUUUCUAAGCUCAGGAGAUAACCAAUUAGCUGCCAAUGUUUGACAUUCUCUUGGAACCCGUUGUCUCAUACAUCGAUCCAAGGCGAUAUUACGACAACACUCCUUCCCAAUACCUGAUGAAAGAAAGAAAAAUUAAAGUACAAUCAGAAAGGUUUAAGGUUAUAUCAAUCAUAAAAUAGACUUUGGAUUGGAUGAUAAAUUGUCAAAAUUAACAAGCCAUGGACAAAUACAGUAUCUAAAUCAAAUGAUCCAUCAAGAGAAGUGAUCGAUUUACAAAAAUAUUCAAUCAAAGAUUAUCAAUCCAAUGAGUUGGCUAAAGAGCAACAGAUACAAUCUAUUACAUGUUAUAUAAGCAUCAUUUAUUGAUCUACAUCCUCAUCACAAAGAAAUAGCAACAUUCAGGAAGUGGAAGAAAAAAUCACAAAAAAGAGAGACUUUAAUGAUCCUUUUCCAAAAACGAUUUCCAUUGUCUUCCAUCAUCAUCACACAAAUAAUUUCCAUCUUCUCAUCUCAACAACUCUGAUUUCGUAUUGCAUAAAAAUACUCAACUCUUAAUAGGUCAAGAACAUGAUAAUGGUAACUCUGCUGAUCCUGUGUAAUAUAUUGCUGAUUACGCUUUUCCUCUUCCUCCCACUUCUUUCUCAUUCUUUUGGAUGAAUGGAUCAAUGAGUAAAGAGAGAGAUAUAUAAAUCUUCAAUGAUUAUUGGCAAAGAAAGAGACUAAAUGAUAAAAAGAGUAUUAGAUUCUACUAAGGGAUAAGUAACUGGACCAAGAUAUUGACCAUUUUGUUAUAAAGCAGAAGGUGAGAUGUAUGAAUUUCCAUGUUUCCUGGUAUAGAGAUACAUCUAAAGAUAUACCAAUAAAGGAAGAAGGUGAUGAUGAUUAUGAUUAUGGUGAUAGAGAAGGGAUGAAGAUAAAGUAAGAAAAAUCUAACAGAAUCUUUGGCGAUUGAUAUAACUACUUUUAUCACUGAUAAGUAGCUCACUCGAAUCAACUUACCACCAUGUUCAUCCUCUUUCCUCUCCCAUCACCAAAGAUUCAAAGUAAAUUGAAUCAAAAUCACCAACAGAGUGUGAAAGUUAACAGAAAACAGAAUCUAAAAUUAAAAGCCACUCAAGGUGUAUAUGGAUAACUAAAAGAUUCAAGGAAGUGUAUCAACCAGAAUUGAGAAGGAAAAAUUGGCAACCAUGUUUACAAUCAAUUGAUAAUAUCUAGUUGAUUUACUUUCAAUUGGUUAAAGUCAAAUACACACUCACACAAAUUGUUGAAAAUGAUUGAAAAAAUUACAAUUUUCAGUUCCAAAUCAUUUCAUCAUCUAAAUUGUCAACUUUUCCCCUGCUGAUUUUGACAUGAUUACAAUUAUUUCACUUAAAUCAUGAUAGUUUUUCACACCGUUAACUUUAUAUUUCACUAUUAUAAUAAUUUAUGAUUAACUUAUUAUAAUUAACAAUCAAGAAACUAUUAUCGCAUUUGAUUUAAUUGAGCUGUUGUGUUAAAUAGUUUUAUCAACAAUCAAUGAUUUCACCUUGACAUCUCUAAUUUCAUAUCAUUUUGUUGAUAAAUUAAUGAAAUGAAAUUUUGAUUGAUUACAAUUAAUGCUGAUUGUUUUUUUUUAAUCUACAGAAUUGGAAUCAUGGGUUUUUUUUAAUAACGCUGAUUGAGAUUUUUAUUACUAUGAUUACAAUGCCAUUGGUAAUUAACUUAAUUGUGAUAAUUGGCUUUACGAUCUGGUUUAAAUGGUUUGACAAGCAGGAACAAUUAAUUAUCAUUAAUAAUAAUAAUAAUCAACAGGAAAACAAAAGAUUGUUACAUUUAUGAUAUUAUCACCAUGGAGAGUUGAGUUGCAUCCAUCAUUGAAUAAUAAUAAUAAUCAUCAAUGAACUUGUUACCUGUCAAAUAGAUGGAAGUGAAAAAUUAGAGUAACGAUAAUGCCCCAGGCUAUUUACAUUGGAAAAUGAUGGAUUGAACGACAAGAGAAAAAGAAAGAAGAACAAAAAAAAUCAACAAUAAUCAUCAUAUUUUUCAUUCUUUUAUUUUCUUCAUCAUCACUAUUACAUAAAGAUGAUGAUGAUCAGGAAGAUGAAAAGAGAUGACAAUCAACCUGAAUAAUGUUCACCAAUGUUAACCUUUCUCUCCAUAGGAAAAAUAUUUUCGAGACUGAAUUUAAUUUAAUUCACUUACGGAUUAACCUCCUCACUCUUAAUUCAAUGGAGAAGCAAUUAAAUUAACUUCUACUCGGAGGAUUGGUCACAUUAAUAUCUCCAUAAUGUGUACGUUGUGAAUAACAAUGGAAAAGAGGAAGAGGAAGAGGAAGAUAAAUGACUAAUCUUAAGAUGAUUCCGGAGAGAAUCAUGUAAAGUAGCUUUGGAAAAGCCAAUUAACUAAUCAUUAUUUUGAUAGAUUAACUUGUAUCGAUGAUGAUUAACCAACCUAAUCAUCUUGAGAGUGUAAGAAACUCAUUCAAUUGAUUGAACGAAUUAUCAAUUUGAGAGAAUUGCCUUAAUCAAGUAGCCAUUCGAGUAUUAGUUAAUUGUUAUUUCUGCAAUUUACUUUUUUCAACGAUCAAAUAACCCCAACGACUGAUAUGUAACACUAAUUGUAUUAAGUCAUGAAAUUUGUUUACUAAUCAAUUAAUUAGCAUGAAAAUUCAUCUCCCUUCAAUUAGUUUACUACAAUUUAGUUUGAUUGUUUCAAAUUUGGUCUUUUAUUUUUCAAAAGCUUAAUUGUAAAAAAUUAACUCUCACUUUAACCCACACUCAUUAACAAUACAAGUUUAUGCUUCUGUUAACUCAGAAAAUAAUCUAAUUAGUUAAUUGUAUUAUAAGACAAAGUUAAAGAUCGUCAGUUUAAUUACCGUAAAUGAUGAUUACUUUCAAUAGUUAAUCAUUUUAAUACAUGAAAGUAAAUUACCUUAGACAAAUUAUGAUCAUUUGUGAUUAGAAACUUGAAACCAGAAAAAAUUAAUCAUUUUCUGUUAUAAUUUAGCUAAUCAUCUAGCAAUCAACUAAUUGUUACGAUGUUUAAUUAAUGAAUAAAAUUAGUUGUUCAAUUUUGUUUAUCUUAA